UACGGGGGGAGCAAGCGUUGUUCGGAUUUACUGGGCGUAAAGGGCGCGUAGGCGGUCGUGACAAGUCACUUGUGAAAUCUCCGGGCUUAACUCGGAACGGUCAAGUGAUACUGUAGGACUAGAGUACAGAAGGGGCAACUGGAAUUCUCGGUGUAGCGGUGAAAUGCGUAGAUAUCGAGAGGAACACCUGCGGCGAAGGCGGCUUGCUGGGCUGAUACUGACGCUGAGAUGCGAAAGCGUGGGGAGCAAGCAGG
This 254-nucleotide ribosomal RNA is filed under the name uncultured bacterium. Its description in RNAcentral is "partial 16S ribosomal RNA". It matches the Rfam family "Bacterial small subunit ribosomal RNA", at positions 524 to 776 of the family's 1533-position model. The record is from RNAcentral.